This 73-nucleotide small nucleolar RNA is filed under the name Ornithorhynchus anatinus (platypus). RNAcentral's name for it is "Small nucleolar RNA SNORD24 (ENSOANG00000019207.2)". It matches the Rfam family "Small nucleolar RNA SNORD24". From Rfam's summary of the family: U24 is a member of the C/D class of snoRNA which contain the C (UGAUGA) and D (CUGA) box motifs. Lineage: Eukaryota; Metazoa; Chordata; Mammalia; Monotremata; Ornithorhynchidae. The record is from Rfam by way of RNAcentral.
UGCAGAUGAUGAUCCAUAUAUUUGCUAUCUGAAUAGCAGUGAUUACAGCCUUACCACCAAGAUCGCUGAUGCA